RNAcentral lists this ribosomal RNA (253 nucleotides) under uncultured bacterium. Its description in RNAcentral is "partial 16S ribosomal RNA". It matches the Rfam family "Bacterial small subunit ribosomal RNA", at positions 524 to 776 of the family's 1533-position model. The record is from RNAcentral.
UACGUAGGGUGCAAGCGUUAAUCGGAAUUACUGGGCGUAAAGCGUGCGCAGGCGGUUUUGUAAGUCUGUCGUGAAAUCCCCGGGCUCAACCUGGGAAUUGCGAUGGAGACUGCAAGGCUAGAAUCUGGCAGAGGGGGGUAGAAUUCCACGUGUGAGCAGUGAAAUGCGUAGAGAUGUGGAGGAACACCGAUGGCGAAGGCAGCCCCCUGGGUCAAGAUUGACGCUCAUGCACGAAAGCGUGGGAGCAAACAGG